UUUGGUCCAUUUUGGGUAAGUAUUCCUGAGAUUUCAAAGCAAAAAUGUCAUGUAGGCAGCUAGACACAUGGGUCUGACACUAAGAGGGAAUGUCUGAGAUGGAGAUAUAAAUUUAUAAGUCAAAUAAAUCUGUGGGCAUGCUUGAAGUUGCCCAGGAAGAGAAGUGAGAAGUGAAUAGAGCCUCUCAUCCAGCCUUGACAAACUAUAACAUUUAAUGUCUUGUUAGAAGAGGAGUCUGUGAGGGAGAAGGGGAAGCCAGGGAGGACAAACCUGCCAAAAUACUGCAAGAAAAGAUGUUGCUGAUCAUGGGCAGGAAAUACUCAAAGUCCCAUGAGAUAGCAUGUUCUUAAGAGACUUCCACACCAAGUCUGCUGACCUCAGAAGGACCAUUGGGCUACGACAAUCCCUACUGAAGUCUGCUCAGGGCUAGGAGAAUGGAAACCAAGGACAAAAAUGGACUUUGUAGGAAGUUAUUGAUUGAUUAUAUUAUAUCCAUGUUAUAGGAUAUUAUUUUGCUAUUAAAGCCAGUAACUUUUAUCUCAAUAGUAAUAGCUAACAUUUAUUGAGCACUUUGUAUGUGUUAGGUAAUAUAUGAAGUACUUUUCAUGAACUUACUAAUCCUUUUAAUAAUUCCCUUAGAUAAACAUUUUUAUCAAUAUCCUACCUGAGGGGUAGAGGUGUUAAAUUACUUUUCCAUGAUGACAUGGCCCACUGAGUAUGAAGGCUGAUUUGAAACCAUGGUUUCUUUUUUGCUAAUAUGGUACCAUCCUUGUUCAAUUAUGUCUUGAUCUGAAGUGGGAGCCAUAGUAUAUUGUUAAGGUAGGAUGGGUAUUAUAUAGUAUUUAAAAACUGUAUUACAAAGUAAAGAAAUCAAUUGCGUGAGAAGUUGUUUACUACCUGUAUGACCUUGGUAAGUCCUAACCAUUCUAGGCUUUUUGAGGUCUUUUGUUUCAUUAAGUAAAGAUAAUAAUAUCUGCUCUGUAUACCUAAUCAAAUGAAAUCACAUGGAUAAAAGUACUCUAUCCAUUACUUUGUAAUGAAUUUUUAUUAUUAAGAAU
Lutra lutra (Eurasian river otter) is the source of this 1058-nucleotide long non-coding RNA. RefSeq lists it as uncharacterized. The record is from RefSeq and is a predicted model, not a curated record. The transcript has 3 exons. NCBI's taxonomy places the organism in Eukaryota, Metazoa, Chordata, Mammalia, Carnivora, Mustelidae.